This 134-nucleotide non-coding RNA is filed under the name unclassified sequences. RNAcentral describes it as "Clostridiales-1 RNA". It matches the Rfam family "Clostridiales-1 RNA". RNAcentral also lists the same sequence under 1 other name. The record is from RNAcentral.
UGAUACCAGGGUCAAAAGGUCUAAACCCACAUGAGCUUGCUCAUAGGUGGGUGAAAGACCUUGGGACCCGCCACGAUAUGCGAAUAUUGGGGGAAUUGUGGGAGUGCUUAGCACGGAACAAUUCGCAGGUAUUA